This is a long non-coding RNA of Felis catus (domestic cat), 6170 nucleotides long. RefSeq lists it as uncharacterized. NCBI's taxonomy places the organism in Eukaryota, Metazoa, Chordata, Mammalia, Carnivora, Felidae. The record is from RefSeq and is a predicted model, not a curated record. The transcript has 2 exons.
CUGUUUCGGAUUCUGUGUCUCCCUCUCUCUCUGCCCCUCCCCUGUUCAUGCUCUGUCUCUCUCUGUCUCAAAAAUAAAUAAACGUUAAAAUUAAAAAAAAAGUGAAAAUUAACAAGUGAAACUAAAUUUAAGAGUAUAUUCAACCCAAUGUCUCUAUAAUACUGUCAUUUUAAACAUGUAGUCAACAAAAUAAUUAUUAGUGAGAUAUUUUAUGUUCUCUUUUUCCUGCUAAGGCUUUGAGAUCCAGUGUGUAUUACAUACCGUAAGCACAUCUCAAUUCCGACUAAGCCACAUUUCAAGCGCCUAACUGGCCACAUAUGGCUAGUAGCCACUGUGUUGGAUAUUGCUUCUAGAAGGUCUGUUUGAUACAGUUCUCUAAGCAUACUGCAAACUCACAAUACCUUUUCAACUGAAGUUCAUGUUUUAUGGCACACCUGAUGAGAUUUUUUUCUUUUCCCACUGAAAGAAUUUUUCUUGUUGUGUCUUGAAUGUGGCUCUUUUACAAGAGCCCAGCAUUGGGAUGUGAGUGGUGGUCGACUAGGCUCUCUCUUCCUGGGUGACAUGACACCCUGCACUAGCUCUCAGGUCCUUUAUUUCUCAAGAGAUUCAAAAUUAGCUAUUGGCUGUGGAUCUUCCAGGUCUGUUAGAAUAAUUGCCAGGCAUUUGGAAAGUUAAAAGUUGCAGUUCCGGGUCUUUUGUACUUCCUCUAAGACAUGACUGUCAGGUGUGAAAAAUCUACUGUGGCUAGAUCCAUUUGUUGUAUUAAUCACUACCUUCCCUUGAGGUUGAUUUACGGUUCCGUGAGAAAUUCUGAAAAACGCUUAGUGCCAACGAGACCCCGUUCAUUCACAGAGAAAGACCGGAAUGUAGGUUUGAAGUAAAGAAAAAUAAGUUUCCAAGGCCCCUGGGAAAAAGUGUUUGGUCACUUAAAUUCUCAUCAGUUUUCUGUGAGUAACAUCAAACCUGCUAUUCUGUGUAUGGGUCUGGUAGCAUCUUCCACACAAAGAACAGGAGAGCAGUGUUAAUUACCACCCCCCUCCAGGGGGGCACUUACUAUUAAAAGUAUUUGUAGAUUAGUUUUAGUUUCGCAUUGUAAUUUGAUGUUUGAUACAUAAAGACUUCUGGCCCAGAAUACCUUUAUUCUCUUGUUAGAAAGUUGCGGACUUUGUGUGUGGGGAGGGGGUGGAAUCUGGAUUUUAUGGUUAGAACUGGAUUGGCACCCUCUUCACUGGGGCAGGAGCCUUGUCCCCUGAAUAACCCAACGUAGGGGACAAGGAUGGUGAUCUUAGGUUUUUAGCUUUCAAAUUGCCAGACGUGGUUUGCUUUUGUGUUCCCUAAAUGGUACUGGAAUCUUCUUUAUUCCAGUGAUACCUUGUGGUAGACUGUAUUCGGCAACCUCUCCUACCAAGGGGUUAAAAUGAAUCUGUCUCAUCAGUGUCUUUUUGUUUAAGGAGAGCAUAAAAGUGCUGAUGGUUAGCUUUACUUCCUCGUAUGCUCAUUUUUUAUUUUUACUGCAGGAGUUACUGACUUUUCCCCCCUGUCUCUUUCUCUCUCUCUUAAAAAAACAAAACAAAACAAAACUUCAUUGAUAUGUCAAAAAGAUGAAAAGAUGUUAUCAACAUACGUUGACUUUUCUGUUUCUUUGCUUUCCUGCCCACCUCCUCCCCACCCCCACUUUUAAAAAUAGAUCUUAUAAAAUCAGGCAUUUGCCAAAGCUGCAGUUUUGAAGCAUAAGGUUUUCCCCUUUUCUGAUGUAUAAAUGCUAACCCUCCUCCCUCCUUUGCAGACACAGGCAUUUUCCUUUUUUGGGUUUUAGUUUAAUGAUUGCACAUUAUGAAGGUUUUGACAGAUCCUUUAAAAUAUAGGUCUAUUGAUAUAUAUGCUGGUGAUCUUGGCUGCCAGCUUCAUUGGUGAUGGGGACACAUACAUGCACUGGAAACUCACAGAGGCUGGACAGACCUCUGUCCUCCAAUAUUGCAUCAUUAUUUUCCACCAAUAAUGCCAGGGCCAACCUUAAUAAUUUUACAGGGGCUAUCUCUUGAUGUAAAGCAGUGGUUCUCCACUGGGGUCAAUUUUAUCUGCAAGGAGCCAUUUGGCAAUGUCCGGAGACCCGUUUCCUUGUUGGCACAUGCCUGGAGCUACCAGCAUCCAAUGGGUAGAGGCCAGGGAUGUGACUAAACAAGCUACACUCUACAGGACAGACUCCCACCCAUAACAUUAUUCACUCAAAAUGUUAGUGGUGUUGAGGCUGAGAAACUCAACGAUAAGGGAUGCUUUCUAGGAUUGAGCUGUGGCCAGUGUAUUUCUUUCUCCUGUUAUUAAAAAAUACACCAACAAUUGAAAAGCCACCAACUGUAUUCAUCAUAAAUGGUCUCUUAAAGAAAAUCCCAGGGCUACUCUUCCCACAAAAAGGAAAGAAAACAAAAUCAAAGGGGCCCCCUGGUAUGAGUUACCCACUGAUGAUAUUCCCUCUGAGGACUGUUUUCUGGGUUAGAGUAAUUAACAGAACCCAGAAGGUUGUGAAGUCUAAGUUAAAGGGUGUCAGAGAUUCGGUCCCCAGAUGGGCCAUCCCGCUGAGAUGUAUGACAGUAUAAACUACAAUUAAAUCUCGUAGUGUAUUUACGUUUUGAGGGGAGGAAAAGGAAGGAAUGCUCUUUAGUCAUUCUUACCAGAGGAAAACUCCUAUUUUUCAUUUUAAUGUGAUUUCUUAUGAAGUGUAGAUGCUGGAUAGUGAAAAGGGGGGUGGAAAUGAAUUUACAAAUCUUGCUGUUCGCAAAGUGUGACAUGACCUUUUAUUUUUAUAUUGUGGAUUGUGUUUUCUAUUAAGCCGUCGAUCAUAUUUUCUCUUUGCCAUUUCAAAAAAGGAAAACACGGCCUUUUUGCGGAUUUUAGUACAUGGGGACAACAUUUGUUACGAUAAUGGCUAAGGUUGUGGGCUAGGCUUUUGGUGCCAAUUUUUUUUUCUAAUUCAAAAAAUUUGUUUUUAUAUUUUUAUUUAAUUUGAGAGAGAGAUAGAGAGCAAGGGGGGAGGGGCAGAGAGAGAGGGAUAGAGAAUUCCAAGCAGGCUCAGACCACAAUGAAGGGCUUGAACCCAUGAACCGUGAGAUCAUAACCCGAGCCGAAAUCAAGAGUCGGAUGCUUGACUGACUGAGCCACCUAGGCGCCCCUGAAGCUAAUUUCUUUUGAAUUGACCAGUAUCAAGUGCACUGAACACGGUUUUGUGUGCCUAGGUCUCUGCUAGAGCUUGUGGGCACCAUUUUUAGCCUGAACUUAUGAGAUGCGGUCACUGAGAUGAUACCUGAGCAUUAUCGUUUUGGUCCUUCAACGUGGAGGGAGAGAGAAAAUCCAAUUAUAUCAAGCAUACUGGAUUGAAUAAUCUUAGAAUGGACUUUGUGGGCAAUAAUGGUGUUGACAAGAAACAGAGUUAGGUUUCUAAAGUUAGUGAACCCCGUUCACCUGUUGGCACAAGUGCAUCUGGGCAGUGUGUCCCCAGUAUAAUCGAAGGGUAUUUGUAGUGGAUGGCUUAAAGACUCUCUUUUACCAUCCCACUCAUCCAAGUUCUAAAUACAUAAUGUCCUGUCCACUCUGUGACUCAUUUUAGAUGCACCUGGUGGAAAAUUGAAUUUAAUGAUCAAGUCCUUCUGAUUUCUGAGUCGUGGAAAUUCUUGUGAUUUUUGCGAUUCUGGAUUUGCAGCACAUCUUAACGAAUAUCUUUUUUCUUCCUAAGUUAUCUUAAACAUGCGAUAGCGUGGUGAGUGGGGUUGGGCUGGUUAUGUCAGUGGGCAAACGAAGGAAAGGAAAUGACAAUCUAGGUUCCGAUAGGCUGAAUCUCACCAGAGUGGUAAUUAUUCUUUAAAUACUAAAAUAGAGUUUUACCUAUUAGAAGGCUCAUAAAACCCGCAUCCACCAUCUAUCUGAUUUUGCCGUUGAUGUAAUUUUAGGAAAUCAAAUGAACUGAGAUGGAAAUUAGGUUUCAUCCUCAGUGGCUUGUGUACCCCUCUAAGUUCUAUUAGAUUUAAUAGGAGUUUUGCAGGUGGAAACACAGCAGGACCACAGCUUUUAUCCCUCCAGAGAGCAGGCCUUUCAUAAACAGAAUAUAAAAUCAUGCCUUUUAUCUCGCCAUUUAAAAAUCUCUGCAUUUUCUGCACCCAAGUUAUUUAUCACAUGCACGGAGAAGACAAUCCAGGAUUGUAUUUUGAAAAAGGGGAAAGGGAAGCCAUUCAGAUUCCUAUUAAAAUGAAUUGUACAAGCUGUACAUCACUUUCUAAUUUCUGAGACUACUUGUAAAUCAUGGGGAGAGAGGGCAUUCUACCAUUGGUCAGGGGAAAAAUGGGAAAUUUAAUAGUUUGUCAAAGAUUAAUAAGAAAGGAUUACCGCUUGGAAAGACCCCGACUUGGUGAGCAAGUACGUUUUGAAGUUCAUCAAGCUUAUAAGCAGAUGGAGGGGUUUAAUUAAAGUUACUUGUCAUUACUCAAGUUUGCUUCUGCUCUGUCCCUGGGACAGAAGUGUAUGUUAUGCCAGUGCCAUUGUCAAAACUUAGAUGUGGCCUCGAGAGCUGGGUGUUUUUCUUUCAUGCUCUCCCUAUUCCUCUUUCAUCAUUUAGGAGCUGAUGAAUAUCUUUUACUUGUGGUCCAUUCUAUGUCUUGAUCAGUAGAAAUUCCAGGAGUUGAUUCUGUUCAUUUAUUGUGCCCUAUUUUAUGUUUUAAUUAACUUUUUAGUGAUACUGAUUUAAGUGGAAAUAGUGUAAGACUGCCAGGAAUAAGGAGUGUGUGUGUGUGUGUGUGUGUGUGUGUGUGUGUGUGUGUGUGUGUGUGUGUGUGUGUGUGUGUGUUUUAAGUGUGUCCUAACCGUACUUUCAGAUUUAAAGUCUCAAAGAUAAGACAGCAGUGGUCCUGACAUUCAUUCAUUCAUUCAUUCAUUCAUUCAUUCAUUCAUUCAACUUUGUCAAUUCAUCUGUCAGCCAUUCAACAAAUAUUUAUUCUUUACCUUCAUUUCAGGGCGUGAUUAAUUUUCCUUUUGUAUAUAAUAAUCUUUCACACAAGGUUGAAGAUUAUUCAAAAUGGAUAUGUACAUUUUACAAUUCGGUGACAACUCACCAAUAUUAAGUCAGAUAUGUUUCCGAUUUGUCAGCUUAAAUUUCCUAAGUUCCCACAUAACGCCUCGGUUAGCUGCUUUCUACAGUAGGAGCUGAGGAUUAUUCUGAAACGCAUGUAUAUGCCUGCGCUUAUCAACUUAAACUCAGAUUCAUCAUUAAAUUUGCUAGGUUUUGGGGUACCUCCUCAAUUAGCUGCUUUCCACAGUAGAGGUUCUUCAGGGCCCGCGAUAUCAACAAAAUGGCGCUGGGUCUUUAAAGAAGUGCUGUGCUCUUAGGGUCCUUCUGAUAUCUACCCUCAGUAGCCCUGUGUGUUGGUCCAGCCCUGAGGUAAAUCUCGUGUUAGGAAUGGGAGGAUAGGAAGUAUUUGAGGGCAUUGUGGCAGAUAAAAAAAUAUGCUGUGAACAACUGUUUUGCUGGUGUGAUGAAUAUUUAAUGUGCACCUACUGGUUUAGGAUGCUGGAUUCAUUUAAAUGUACAUACCUGUCUUAGUGUCUUAAAUGCCCCAUGUUUUAUGGAGACAUUUAAAUUUUAAAUCCUAUAGGCAGUUCUGUUACACACAAUGAAUAAUAGCUUAGAUUGCCUUAAAUAGAUUUCUAUCCAUUAUUGUUUAGCAAAAACUAGGGUCUUGAGAAACUAGGACAGGACAGUGAGGUAGACCAUAGUAAAAAAUUGACAUGAGGUAUUGCAUGGGAAUCAACUUAAUGGCGGAAUAUGGUGUUCAAGGCUUCAGACAGAGUGAGGAAAAUACAAACUAAAAUCCGCUUGUGUGUGUUUGUCUAAGUGUGUGUGUGUGUGUGUGUGUGUGUGUGUGUGUGUGUGUGCGUGUGCGUGCGUGUGCGCGCAUGCAAGUAUGUGUGUAAUUAUAUUGGUUUGGUUUUUAGCCAUCAUGGUUUGAAGAGUUCUGGAUGCCUUUAAUACAGUAGUAAUAGCUGAGUUGUAGUUGUGAUAUUAGUAGACAUUUAUUGAAUGCAUACCAUAUUUGUGGUCUAGUGCUAUACUCUUUACAUGGAGUAUCUUGUUUGAUGUAUCUCAACAAUCUUAGGAUGAACCGUUGGCUGUUAACAUUCUCAUAGAG